Molecule: ribosomal RNA, 497 nt
Filed under: uncultured bacterium
Lineage: Bacteria
Description: partial 16S ribosomal RNA
Rfam family: Bacterial small subunit ribosomal RNA
Source: RNAcentral
GGUGAACGCUGGCGGCGUGCCUAAUACAUGCAAGUCGAGCGAACGGACGAGAAGCUUGCCUCUCUGAUGUUAGCGGCGGACGGGUGAGUAACACGUGGAUAACCUACCUAUAAGACUGGGAUAACUUCGGGAAACCGGAGCUAAUACCGGAUAAUAUUUUGAACCGCAUGGUUCAAAAGUGAAAGACGGUCUUGCUGUCACUUAUAGAUGGAUCCGCGCUGCAUUAGCUAGUUGGUAAGGUAACGGCUUACCAAGGCAACGAUGCAUAGCCGACCUGAGAGGGUGAUCGGCCACACUGGAACUGAGACACGGUCCAGACUCCUACGGGAGGCAGCAGUAGGGAAUCUUCCGCAAUGGGCGAAAGCCUGACGGAGCAACGCCGCGUGAGUGAUGAAGGUCUUCGGAUCGUAAAACUCUGUUAUUAGGGAAGAACAUAUGUGUAAGUAACUGUGCACAUCUUGACGGUACCUAAUCAGAAAGCCACGGCUAACUACGUG